GGUUUCCGUAGGUGAACCUGCGGAAGGAUCGUUAACGUAU
This 40-nucleotide ribosomal RNA is filed under the name Ciona intestinalis (vase tunicate). RNAcentral's name for it is "partial 18S ribosomal RNA". Lineage: Eukaryota; Metazoa; Chordata; Ascidiacea; Phlebobranchia; Cionidae. The record is from RNAcentral.